This 292-nucleotide long non-coding RNA is filed under the name Bos taurus (domestic cattle). RNAcentral's name for it is "long non-coding RNA NONBTAT017229". The record is from RNAcentral. Lineage: Eukaryota; Metazoa; Chordata; Mammalia; Artiodactyla; Bovidae.
GGUGGAUGCUGGGUAGGGCAGCUUGGGGUCAGUGGAGGACUUCAUCUUCUCUGGUCAGGCUUGACUUUACCUGAUGAGAAAGGGGAGGAGCUGGAAUAGGAGCCUGCCUGGCUGAGGGGGAAUUUGAGGAUUUGGGGGUAAGGAUCAGAGCAUAGCACUAAGGACAGGAAACCAGGCAUCCUUUAAGAGUUGUCCUCAUCUCCAGGGAGCAGGCGGUUCCUCUAGGAAGUGUCCAUGGCUAGUAAUUUUCAACUCAGAUUCUCCCUGAGGAUGGCAUGGUGAGGAAGUGCAU